This is a long non-coding RNA of Equus asinus (donkey), 1870 nucleotides long. NCBI's taxonomy places the organism in Eukaryota, Metazoa, Chordata, Mammalia, Perissodactyla, Equidae. The record is from Ensembl.
GUUUCCCACCAACCACUGCCUGAAAAUGAGCAUCCACCUCCCCCAGAGCAAUGACCCCUCCACCAGAAUAUGCCACCCCAAAAAGGGUCCUACUCAGUCCCAGUGAUAGUACAGCUCAGCUACUCCUCCCUCUGCUCACCCACAAAGCCAAUUCUAGAUGUGCCCAGUGCUGACAGGGAGCACGACCCAGGGGGAAUGCCUAGGUUCCCUCCCACCAUUCAGACAGCUAAUCUCAACUACUUAUCUCUCAUCCAGAGUCUACAUUCUAGACUAGAAAGGCCUAAGUGUUGGGCUUGGGGGACGGCCUUGCACAGAUUAAAUGCAAGAUACACAUUCUUCCUUUCAACUGGCCCCCUGGUGCUGGCAGGAACCCUGGAUGGAGGAAGGCUGGUGACUGGGUACAGAGAACCCUAUUGGGAGUUCUGGCUCCCCACCGUCCACCAUUACUCCUGCAGGCUCUAAGACCAGCACCCACCUUCUCUGGGCCUUUAUUUUUGCUUCCCUCUCAGUAAGAGGGAGGGAGGGUGAGGACUGAGGGAGGGAGGGUUAGCUGCUUUCUAGUCCUCCACUUAAAGGAUUUCUUAAAAUGCACGAGUCUGGCAGAGGUAAGCCACAAAGUCACUAACACUUUAGCAAGAAUGAGUUGUCUUGGGAGGCGAACAAUUUAGAAAAGGUGGAGGUGGUGGAAAGCAAAGUUAAGUGAGCAUGGUACUUGGAAAGUAACUCAGAGAUGACCCUACAUUUUUGAAUUCUGUGUUGAAGGCUGGAAGGCGUGGAUCCCUGGGAAGAGAUGGGAAGCCAGAGAUCUUUCAGUCCCCCUAGCACCCCGGAGUCCCAAAGACACUGCUCUGUCCCAGUACUUAAGCACAAUUCUACUGACUAUCUCAUCCAACAUACCCCAGACCCGCAACAUCAUGUCCCCAACACAGUAACAUUUACACUGUCAUCUCCACUCUCCGCAUUUUAUUUAGUCUUCUCUGGCCUGCAGUUCCCGCGUGCAAAUGGCCUUCCUCCAUGUCGUCGUCCGGCUUCAGAAAAUUCCCCAUCCUUCAAAAGCCCUGAUGAAGCGGCCCCCAAAAGGGCCAGCUCAGAUCCCACCCCAGGGACCAGGAAAUCAGACUCCUCUCCCUGAGCCCCUUAAAACUUUAUCCACACCUUUUCCCCAGCACUUGGCAUAUCCUAUCUUGGAUCAGGUUUGGCUCCUUUGGCUCCUCGGUUGACUGAGCGCUCCCUGAGAGCAGGAACUGGGCCUCCUCCGCCUCUCUAACCCAACAACCCAGCAGGGCGCCUGGCACACAGUGGGUGCUCGAGAAAUGCUGGAAGAAGGGGAACGCGGAGUCGGGAGCCAUCUAUCUCAAUUACGGCUCGGCCUCUGCUUCUUUGCCCAUCUAAGAACACAACUCUAGAGAACUGGGCCAUCAGACACUUUUCUUCGGGGAAUAACACUGGAUUAAAAGGCAGUUCAAGGGGCCGGCCCCGUGGCCGAGAGAUUAAGUUCACGCACUCCGCUUCGGCAGCCCAGAGUUUCGCUGGUUCGGAUCCUGGGUGUGGACAUGGCACCGCUCACCAAGCCAUGCUGAGGGGGCACCCUGCAUGCCACAUCUAGAAGGACCCACAACUAAAAAUACACAACUAUGUACUGGGGGAUUUUGGGAGAAAAAUGAAAAAUAAAAUAAAAUAAAAUAAAGACAGUUCAAGGCAUGCCAAGAGGAAUUGUGAUUAUCUGCUCUAGGAGCAUUGUCCACACCAUGAAUUAUUAUGCACCCUGGACCUGUCUCUUUCGAGUCACUGACAAGUGGAGGAGACACCUAGUUUAAAACUCUAGCUUAGCCUCUGACCAGUGAAAACAUGUAGACCAUGUCAAAUUAGC